CAGAGAACUUGCCCCUUUGGGGUAAAUCUCCCACCCUUUGUUUACAACACCAUGUUGCUUUGGCAGGCCCGUCUUUGUGACCACUGGCCUUGGCUGGUCCGUGCCUGCCAGAGGAUUCAAAACUCUAUUAUUUUGUGUUCUGAGUUUAGUUUCAAUAGUUUA
Molecule: unclassified non-coding RNA, 162 nt
Filed under: uncultured Helotiales
Lineage: Eukaryota; Fungi; Ascomycota; Leotiomycetes; Helotiales
Description: sequence contains ITS1
Source: RNAcentral